Molecule: long non-coding RNA, 586 nt
Organism: Dreissena polymorpha
Lineage: Eukaryota; Metazoa; Mollusca; Bivalvia; Myida; Dreissenidae
Exons: 3
Source: RefSeq, a predicted model, not a curated record
UGAGGAAUACGUUACCUCACGUAAACGAAGAAUAUUUCCGAUUCGGUGUAGCAUAGGAAUAGAGGUAGACAGGAGAACACCAGUAAGAUGGCGUCCGGUUUUGAAUCUUCGUUACAUAGAGGAUCAGACGUAGAAUACGAAUUAUGUUGUGACACUUGCGAAGAAAAAGAUAUUAACAGGGAGGCUCAGUUCUAUUGUGAGAAAUGUUCAAAGUUUUAUUGUAAUCCAUGUGCUGGAUUGCAUGAUCAGCUUUAUAGUAAACAUGUACGUUGGGGGAGAAAGGACAUGAACAAGUGGCCUGUGGCCAAGACAGCAUCAAAUAAGCUAGAAGUAUGUCAAAGACAUAAUGGUGAGAAAUUUAGAGUAUAUUGUGAGAACCAUAGCCAGAUGUUGUGUACCGUCUGUCAUAUUUACGAUCACCAGAAAUGUAGGAAUGUUGUUUUGAUCGCUGACAAACUGAAAGAGCUGUGCAAGAAUGAAGACUUUCAUCAAUUGUCAAAACACUUGGCAAGAUUGCAAAAUGAAUUGAAUCAAAAUACGAAAGAACAAAACAAGAAUUUACUAAACAUGCAGCAAUCCUAUAAGA